This 85-nucleotide transfer RNA is filed under the name Felis catus (domestic cat). It matches the Rfam family "tRNA". From Rfam's summary of the family: Transfer RNA (tRNA) molecules are approximately 80 nucleotides in length. Lineage: Eukaryota; Metazoa; Chordata; Mammalia; Carnivora; Felidae. The record is from Rfam by way of RNAcentral.
GCCUGGGUGGCUCAGUCGGUUAAGCAUCCGACUUUGGCUCAGGUCAUGAUCUCGCGGUCCGUGGGUUCGAGCCCCGCAUCGGGCU